This 595-nucleotide ribosomal RNA is filed under the name Pantoea sp. R6MS32. RNAcentral describes it as "bacterial SSU rRNA". It matches the Rfam family "Bacterial small subunit ribosomal RNA", at positions 850 to 1444 of the family's 1533-position model. Lineage: Bacteria; Pseudomonadati; Pseudomonadota; Gammaproteobacteria; Enterobacterales; Erwiniaceae. The record is from RNAcentral.
AGCUAACGCGUUAAGUCGACCGCCUGGGGAGUACGGCCGCAAGGUUAAAACUCAAAUGAAUUGACGGGGGCCCGCACAAGCGGUGGAGCAUGUGGUUUAAUUCGAUGCAACGCGAAGAACCUUACCUACUCUUGACAUCCAGCGAACUUGGCAGAGAUGCCUUGGUGCCUUCGGGAACGCUGAGACAGGUGCUGCAUGGCUGUCGUCAGCUCGUGUUGUGAAAUGUUGGGUUAAGUCCCGCAACGAGCGCAACCCUUAUCCUUUGUUGCCAGCACGUAAUGGUGGGAACUCAAAGGAGACUGCCGGUGAUAAACCGGAGGAAGGUGGGGAUGACGUCAAGUCAUCAUGGCCCUUACGAGUAGGGCUACACACGUGCUACAAUGGCGCAUACAAAGAGAAGCGACCUCGCGAGAGCAAGCGGACCUCACAAAGUGCGUCGUAGUCCGGAUCGGAGUCUGCAACUCGACUCCGUGAAGUCGGAAUCGCUAGUAAUCGUGGAUCAGAAUGCCACGGUGAAUACGUUCCCGGGCCUUGUACACACCGCCCGUCACACCAUGGGAGUGGGUUGCAAAAGAAGUAGGUAGCUUAACCUUCG